Molecule: ribosomal RNA, 912 nt
Filed under: Pediococcus acidilactici
Lineage: Bacteria; Bacillati; Bacillota; Bacilli; Lactobacillales; Lactobacillaceae
Description: bacterial SSU rRNA
Rfam family: Bacterial small subunit ribosomal RNA
Source: RNAcentral
UACUACAUGGAGUCGAACGAACUUCCGUUAAUUGAUCAGGACGUGCUUGCACUGAAUGAGAUUUUAACACGAAGUGAGUGGCGGACGGGUGAGUAACACGUGGGUAACCUGCCCAGAAGCAGGGGAUAACACCUGGAAACAGAUGCUAAUACCGUAUAACAGAGAAAACCGCCUGGUUUUCUUUUAAAAGAUGGCUCUGCUAUCACUUCUGGAUGGACCCGCGGCGCAUUAGCUAGUUGGUGAGGUAACGGCUCACCAAGGCGAUGAUGCGUAGCCGACCUGAGAGGGUAAUCGGCCACAUUGGGACUGAGACACGGCCCAGACUCCUACGGGAGGCAGCAGUAGGGAAUCUUCCACAAUGGACGCAAGUCUGAUGGAGCAACGCCGCGUGAGUGAAGAAGGGUUUCGGCUCGUAAAGCUCUGUUGUUAAAGAAGAACGUGGGUGAGAGUAACUGUUCACCCAGUGACGGUAUUUAACCAGAAAGCCACGGCUAACUACGUGCCAGCAGCCGCGGUAAUACGUAGGUGGCAAGCGUUAUCCGGAUUUAUUGGGCGUAAAGCGAGCGCAGGCGGUCUUUUAAGUCUAAUGUGAAAGCCUUCGGCUCAACCGAAGAAGUGCAUUGGAAACUGGGAGACUUGAGUGCAGAAGAGGACAGUGGAACUCUAUGUGUAGCGGUGAAAUGCGUAGAUAUAUGGAAGAACACCAGUGGCGAAGGCGGCUGUCUGGUCUGUAACUGACGCUGAGGCUCGAAAGCAUGGGUAGCGAACAGGAUUAGAUACCCUGGUAGUCCAUGCCGUAACGAUGAUUACUAAGUGUUGGAGGGUUUCCGCCCUUCAGUGCUGCAGCUAACGCAUUAAGUAAUUCCGCCUGGGGAGUACGACGCAAGGUGAAACUCAAAAGAAUUGACGGGG